This 1369-nucleotide ribosomal RNA is filed under the name uncultured bacterium. Its description in RNAcentral is "bacterial SSU rRNA". It matches the Rfam family "Bacterial small subunit ribosomal RNA", at positions 28 to 1381 of the family's 1533-position model. The record is from RNAcentral.
GACGAACGCUGGCGGCGUGCCUAAUACAUGCAAGUAGAACGCUGAAGAGAGGAGCUUGCUCUUCUUGGAUGAGUUGCGAACGGGUGAGUAACGCGUAGGUAACCUGCCUUGUAGCGGGGGAUAACUAUUGGAAACGAUAGCUAAUACCGCAUAACAAUGGAUGACACAUGUCAUUUAUUUGAAAGGGGCAAUUGCUCCACUACAAGAUGGACCUGCGUUGUAUUAGCUAGUAGGUGAGGUAAUGGCUCACCUAGGCGACGAUACAUAGCCGACCUGAGAGGGUGAUCGGCCACACUGGGACUGAGACACGGCCCAGACUCCUACGGGAGGCAGCAGUAGGGAAUCUUCGGCAAUGGGGGCAACCCUGACCGAGCAACGCCGCGUGAGUGAAGAAGGUUUUCGGAUCGUAAAACUCUGUUGUAAGUCAAGAACGGGUGUGAGAGUGGAAAGUUCACACUGUGACGGUAGCUUACCAGAAAGGGACGGCUAACUACGUGCCAGCAGCCGCGGUAAUACGUAGGUCCCGAGCGUUGUCCGGAUUUAUUGGGCGUAAAGCGAGCGCAGGCGGUUUGAUAAGUCUGAAGUUAAAGGCUGUGGCUCAACCAUAGUUCGCUUUGGAAACUGUCAAACUUGAGUGCAGAAGGGGAGAGUGGAAUUCCAUGUGUAGCGGUGAAAUGCGUAGAUAUAUGGAGGAACACCGGUGGCGAAAGCGGCUCUCUGGUCUGUAACUGACGCUGAGGCUCGAAAGCGUGGGGAGCGAACAGGAUUAGAUACCCUGGUAGUCCACGCCGUAAACGAUGAGUGCUAGGUGUUGGAUCCUUUCCGGGAUUCAGUGCCGCAGCUAACGCAUUAAGCACUCCGCCUGGGGAGUACGACCGCAAGGUUGAAACUCAAAGGAAUUGACGGGGGCCCGCACAAGCGGUGGAGCAUGUGGUUUAAUUCGAAGCAACGCGAAGAACCUUACCAGGUCUUGACAUCCCGAUGCUAUUUCUAGAGAUAGAAAGUUACUUCGGUACAUCGGUGACAGGUGGUGCAUGGUUGUCGUCAGCUCGUGUCGUGAGAUGUUGGGUUAAGUCCCGCAACGAGCGCAACCCCUAUUGUUAGUUGCCAUCAUUCAGUUGGGCACUCUAGCGAGACUGCCGGUAAUAAACCGGAGGAAGGUGGGGAUGACGUCAAAUCAUCAUGCCCCUUAUGACCUGGGCUACACACGUGCUACAAUGGUUGGUACAACGAGUUGCGAGUCGGUGACGGCGAGCUAAUCUCUUAAAGCCAAUCUCAGUUCGGAUUGUAGGCUGCAACUCGCCUACAUGAAGUCGGAAUCGCUAGUAAUCGCGGAUCAGCACGCCGCGGUGAAUACGUUCCCGGGCCU